Molecule: ribosomal RNA, 870 nt
Filed under: Agaricus bitorquis
Lineage: Eukaryota; Fungi; Basidiomycota; Agaricomycetes; Agaricales; Agaricaceae
Description: eukaryotic LSU rRNA
Rfam family: Eukaryotic large subunit ribosomal RNA
Source: RNAcentral
AGGAUUCCCCUAGUAACUGCGAGUGAAGCGGGAAAAGCUCAAAUUUAAAAUCUGGCGGUCUUUUGCCGUCCGAGUUGUAAUCUAGAGAAGUAAUGCCCGUGCUGGACCGUGUAUAAGUCUCCUGGGAUGGGGCGUCAUAGAGGGUGAGAAUCCCGUCUUUGACACGGACUACCAGUGCAUUGUGGUAUGCUCUCAAAGAGUCGAGUUGUUUGGGAAUGCAGCUCAAAAUGGGUGGUAAAUUCCAUCUAAAGCUAAAUAUUGGCGAGAGACCGAUAGCGAACAAGUACCGUGAGGGAAAGAUGAAAAGAACUUUGGAAAGAGAGUUAAACAGUACGUGAAAUUGCUGAAAGGGAAACGCUUGAAGUCAGUCGCGUUGGCCAGGGAUCAGCCUUGCUUUUGCAUGGUGUAUUUUCUGGUUAACGGGUCAGCAUCAAUUUUGACCACUGGAAAAGGGCCUGGGGAAUGUGGCAGCUUAGGCUGUGUUAUAGCCCCUGGUCGCAUACRGUGGUUGGGAUUGAGGAACUCAGCACGCCGCAAGGCCGGGUUUCGACCACGUUCGUGCUUAGGAUGCUGGCAUAAUGGCUUUAAGCGACCCGUCUUGAAACACGGACCAAGGAGUCUAACAUGCCUGCGAGUAUUUGGGUGGAAAACCCGAGUGCGCAAUGAAAGUGAAAGUUGAGAUCCCUGUCGUGGGGAGCAUCGACGCCCGGACCAGAACUUUUGGGACGGAUCCGCGGUGGAGCAUGUAUGUUGGGACCCGAAAGAUGGUGAACUAUGCCUGAAUAGGGUGAAGCCAGAGGAAACUCUGGUGGAGGCUCGUAGCGAUUCUGACGUGCAAAUCGAUCGUCAAAUUUGGGUAUAGGGGCGAAA